RNAcentral lists this ribosomal RNA (440 nucleotides) under uncultured bacterium. RNAcentral's name for it is "partial 16S ribosomal RNA". It matches the Rfam family "Bacterial small subunit ribosomal RNA", at positions 338 to 795 of the family's 1533-position model. The record is from RNAcentral.
CCUACGGGAGGCAGCAGUGGGGAAUAUUGCACAAUGGGGGAAACCCUGAUGCAGCGACGCCGCGUGAGCGAUGAAGUAUUUCGGUAUGUAAAGCUCUAUCAGCAGGGAAGAAAAUGACGGUACUUGACUAAGAAGCCCCGGCUAACUACGUGCCAGAGGCCGCGGUAAUACGUAGGGGGAAAGCGUUAUCCGGAGUUACUGGGUGUAAAGGGAGCGUAGACGGCGGUGCAAGCCAGAUGUGAAAGCCCGGGGCGCAACCCCGGGACUGCAUUUGGAACUGGGCGGCUAGAGUGUCGGAGAGGCAGGCGGAAUUCCUGGUGUAGCGGUGAAAUGCGUAGAUAUUAGGAGGAACACCAGUGGCGAAGGCGGGCUGCUGGACGAUGACUGACGUUGAGGCUCGAAAGCGUGGGGAGCAAACAGGAUUAGAUACCCGGGUAGUC